CCAGGGCUGGCUCAGUUGGGUAGAGCAUGUGACUUUGGAUCUCAAGGUUGUAAGUUUAAGCCCUACUUUGGG
This 72-nucleotide transfer RNA is filed under the name Canis lupus familiaris (dog). It matches the Rfam family "tRNA". From Rfam's summary of the family: Transfer RNA (tRNA) molecules are approximately 80 nucleotides in length. The record is from Rfam by way of RNAcentral. RNAcentral also lists the same sequence under 2 other names. Lineage: Eukaryota; Metazoa; Chordata; Mammalia; Carnivora; Canidae.